RNAcentral lists this ribosomal RNA (497 nucleotides) under uncultured bacterium. Its description in RNAcentral is "partial 16S ribosomal RNA". It matches the Rfam family "Bacterial small subunit ribosomal RNA", at positions 28 to 507 of the family's 1533-position model. The record is from RNAcentral.
GAUGAACGCUGGCGGCGUGCCUAAUACAUGCAAGUCGAGCGAACAGACGAGGAGCUUGCUCCUCUGGCGUUAGCGGCGGACGGGUGAGUAACACGUGGAUAACCUACCUAUAAGACUGGGAUAACUUCGGGAAACCGGAGCUAAUACCGGAUAAUAUAUUGAACCGCAUGGUUCAAUAGUGAAAGACGGUUUUGCUGUCACUUAUAGAUGGAUCCGCGCCGCAUUAGCUAGUUGGUAAGGUAACGGCUUACCAAGGCAACGAUGCGUAGCCGACCUGAGAGGGUGAUCGGCCACCCUGGAACUGAGACACGGUCCAGACUCCUACGGGAGGCAGCAGUAGGGAAUCUUCCGCAAUGGGCGAAAGCCUGACGGAGCAACGCCGCGUGAGUGAUGAAGGUCUUCGGAUCGUAAAACUCUGUUAUUAGGGAAGAACAAAUGUGUAAGUAACUAUGCACGUCUUGACGGUACCUAAUCAGAAAGCCACGGCUAACUACGUG